CCUACGGGUGGCAGCAGUGGGGAAUAUUGCACAAUGGGGGGAACCCUGAUGCAGCGACGCCGCGUGAGUGAAGAAGUAUUUCGGUAUGUAAAGCUCUAUCAGCAGGGAAGAAAAUGACGGUACCUGACUAAGAAGCCCCGGCUAACUACGUGCCAGCAGCCGCGGUAAUACGUAGGGGGCAAGCGUUAUCCGGAUUUACUGGGUGUAAAGGGAGCGUAGACGGUUAUGCAAGUCUGAAGUGAAAGCCCAAGUCUCAACCAUGGGACUGCUUUGGAAACUGUAAAACUUGAGUGCAGGAGAGGUAAGCGGAAUUCCUAGUGUAGCGGUGAAAUGCGUAGAUAUUAGGAGGAACACCAGUGGCGAAGGCGGCUUACUGGACUGUAACUGACGUUGAGGCUCGAAGGCGUGGGGAGCAAACAGGAUUAGAUACCCUGGUAGUC
RNAcentral lists this ribosomal RNA (440 nucleotides) under uncultured bacterium. RNAcentral describes it as "partial 16S ribosomal RNA". It matches the Rfam family "Bacterial small subunit ribosomal RNA", at positions 338 to 795 of the family's 1533-position model. The record is from RNAcentral.